UGCUGGUGGAGUGAUUGUCUGCUUAAUUGCGAUAACGAACGAGACCUCGGCCCUUAAAUAGCCCGGUCCGCAUUUGCGGGCCGCUGGCUUCUUAAGGGGACUAUCGGCUCAAGCCGAUGGAAGUGCGAGGCAAUAACAGGUCUGUGAUGCAACCACCAGGCUGCUCGGGGUGGCUGGAGUGAGCAAUACCCCUUCUUACCCAACCAGACACAACAGCUGGGCCUGUGUGUGCCUGAGAUCUCUCCCUCUAAAUACUAGGACGACUCAGCUCGCCUCACGGCAGGCCUUAAAAUUGCCCAGUGGGUGCCCCCUUUUUUGCUUUCCUCUCCUUUACUUCCCUCUAUUUGACAAGGUCCUAUCUUCACCUGGAUGUUGUGUUUACCCAAAAUGGUCGGGUACCCUGUACACCCCAGAGACUGUGUAUAAUAUUCCUCCGAGAGCCCUCUUACGCUUUUUCGGCUCUACGCUCCUCAAACACGGGGCAAUCCGUGUUGACACCCCCCCCCCAACAAAAUAUAAAACAAGAAAGUUUU
Molecule: ribosomal RNA, 533 nt
Filed under: Penicillium sp.
Lineage: Eukaryota; Fungi; Ascomycota; Eurotiomycetes; Eurotiales; Aspergillaceae
Description: partial small subunit ribosomal RNA
Rfam family: Eukaryotic small subunit ribosomal RNA (bases 1-150)
Source: RNAcentral